Molecule: ribosomal RNA, 449 nt
Filed under: uncultured bacterium
Lineage: Bacteria
Description: bacterial SSU rRNA
Rfam family: Bacterial small subunit ribosomal RNA
Source: RNAcentral
GUCGAGAAUUUUUCACAAUGGGCGCAAGCCUGAUGGAGCGACGCCGCGUGGGGGAUGAAUGGCUUCGGCCCGUAAACCCCUGUCAUUUGCGAGCAAACGUUGUUAUUUAAAAGAUGACAAUUUGAUAGUAGCGAAAGAGGAAGGGACGGCUAACUCUGUGCCAGCAGCCGCGGUAAUACAGAGGUCCCAAGCGUUGUUCGGAUUCACUGGGCGUAAAGGGUGCGUAGGUGGCGGGGUAAGUCGGAUGUGAAAGCUCGGAGCUCAACUCCGAAAUGGCAUUGGAAACUACCUUGCUCGAGGGUUGGAGGGGGGACUGGAAUGCUUGGUGUAGCAGUGAAAUGCGUAGAUAUCAAGCGGAACACCAGUGGCGAAGGCGAGUCCCUGGACAACUCCUGACACUGAGGCACGAAAGCUAGGGGAGCAAACAGGAUUAGAUACCCUUGUAGUCC